This 506-nucleotide ribosomal RNA is filed under the name uncultured bacterium. Its description in RNAcentral is "partial 16S ribosomal RNA". It matches the Rfam family "Bacterial small subunit ribosomal RNA", at positions 29 to 523 of the family's 1533-position model. The record is from RNAcentral.
AUUGAACGCUGGCGGCAGGCCUAACACAUGCAAGUCGAACGGCAGCACAGAAGAGCUUGCUCUUUGGGUGGCGAGUGGCGGACGGGUGAGUAAUGUCUGGGAAACUGCCCGAUGGAGGGGGAUAACUACUGGAAACGGUAGCUAAUACCGCAUAACGUCGCAAGACCAAAGUGGGGGACCUUCGGGCCUCACACCAUCGGAUGUGCCCAGAUGGGAUUAGCUAGUAGGUGGGGUAAUGGCUCACCUAGGCGACGAUCCCUAGCUGGUCUGGGAGGAUGACCAGCCACACUGGAACUGAGACGCGGGCCAGACUCCUACGGGAGGCAGCAGUGGGGAAUAUUGCACAAUGGGCGCAAGCCUGAUGCAGCCAUGCCGCGUGUAUGAAGAAGGCCUUCGGGUUGUAAAGUACUUUCAGCGGGGAGGAAGGCGGUGAGGUUAAUAACCUUGCCGAUUGACGUUACCCGCAGAAGAAGCACCGGCUAACUCCGUGCCAGCCGCCGCCGUAA